CGCCGUUGGGAAAAUUGAUUCCUUUACCGGGACAGUCCGAACAUUACAAUUAUCGGCAAUUACAUUUCUUUGGAAGGCGGAACGAGAAGAGAGAGAAAGAGAGCGACCGAUUCUUGAAGAGAGCGACCGAUUCUUGAGAAAAUCAUUAUAUCGAAGAUUGUGACAUGAAUAGAAUAAGUUCAGUUGAUAAACAGUAAGAGUGAACCCCAAAUACAGCUCGCAGCGAUUUGGUAACCAAGGCUGUUU
RNAcentral lists this unclassified non-coding RNA (246 nucleotides) under Hevea brasiliensis (rubber tree). Lineage: Eukaryota; Viridiplantae; Streptophyta; Magnoliopsida; Malpighiales; Euphorbiaceae. The record is from RNAcentral.